GUCAGAAUAUAGUCAAUGCUCGUAAGAGUGACAGCUAACUGGAAUCAUAAGUGUGUCACUUAUGAUAAUGUAAAGAAAAAUAAUGAUACGACUUUACUAUUAGUGUUGUCCAAAGCUGGUGCCAGAAGACUCGGUAAGGCCAGAGACGCGAGCGUUAAUCAUCUUGAUCAGGCGUAAAGGGUUUGUAGGCAGCUUUAAAAUGUAGGCUGCUGUACUAAAUAUUACAGCUAGAAUCAUAUAGAGGUCACUGUCAGAGAACUCUUGGAGUAGGGUUGAUAUCUUUUAAUACCAAGAGGAAUAUUCAUUAGCGAAGGCACUUUACCAAAUAAUGAUUGACGCUGAGAAACGAAGGUGAGGAUCGACAAUAGGAUUAGAUACCCUGGCAUCCCUCUCUGUCAACGAUGAAUGGUAGUUGCUAGCUUUAUAUAGUUAGUGGCGAUGUUAACACGUUAACCAUUCCGCCUUGUGAGUACAAUUGCAAAGUUGAAAACAAAAAAAUUAGUCGGUUUCGGAGCAAACGAAGUGAAGCAUGUUAUUUAAUUCGAUAUUCCGCA
This 554-nucleotide ribosomal RNA is filed under the name Gloeocantharellus dingleyae. RNAcentral describes it as "mitochondrial SSU rRNA". It matches the Rfam family "Bacterial small subunit ribosomal RNA", at positions 355 to 963 of the family's 1533-position model. Lineage: Eukaryota; Fungi; Basidiomycota; Agaricomycetes; Gomphales; Gomphaceae. The record is from RNAcentral.